UGAGCUUCUAAUCAGCAGUCAGGAAUUCCC
RNAcentral lists this non-coding RNA (30 nucleotides) under Mus musculus (house mouse). The record is from RNAcentral. Lineage: Eukaryota; Metazoa; Chordata; Mammalia; Rodentia; Muridae.